CCUACGGGAGGCAGCAGUGAGGAAUAUUGGUCAAUGGACGAGAGUCUGAACCAGCCAAGUAGCGUGAAGGAUGACUGCCCUAUGGGUUGUAAACUUCUUUUAUAAAGGAGUAAGGUGAGUCACGUGUGCCUUUUUGUAUGUACUUUAUGAAUAAGAAUCGGCUAACUCCGUGCCAGCAGCCGCGGUAAUACGGAGGAUCCGAGCGUUAUCCGGAUUUCUUGGGUUUAAAGGGAGCGUAGAUGGGUUGUUAAGUCAGUUGGGAAAGUUUGCGGCUCAAACGUAAAAUUGCAAUUGAUACUGGCAGUCUUGAGUACAGUUGAGGUAGGCGGAAUUCGUGGUGUAGCGGUGAAAUGCUUAGAUAUCACGAAGAACUCCGAUUGCGAAGGCAGCUUACUAAACUGCCACUGACAUUGAUGCUCGAAAGCGUGGGUAUCAAACAGGAUUAGAUACCCGGGUAGUC
RNAcentral lists this ribosomal RNA (460 nucleotides) under uncultured bacterium. RNAcentral's name for it is "partial 16S ribosomal RNA". It matches the Rfam family "Bacterial small subunit ribosomal RNA", at positions 338 to 795 of the family's 1533-position model. The record is from RNAcentral.